UUGAGAGGACUUCAUGGUGAGAGACAACAUACAUCAAAGUUCAGCCUGGGAGCUUGCUGCAGAUGAUUUCACAACAACAGCAGAUGAUGAGACAGCCCUUUGUUGGGGUGUAACAGAGCUCCUCACUGAAUCCACAGCAGCAGAGCUGAGUGAACUCUGACGGCUACCCUGCUAUCAUGCUGCUUGGGCUAUGGAACUUGUGUGCUGGUAGGAGAAUCCCAUUCAGGAUCACAAAUCUCCUUUGACCCUGUGCUGCUGUUCACUGGGUGUCAAUGGAAGGGUGGAAGUUGAAGGACACUCUCCCUAAACAGGUGUCUGAUUACAUGAACAAGCAGUGUAACCCAGCUGCAUUAAUAACCCACACUUUGCCGCAGUGAAGGAUUCGAACUGCUGUGAGCAGGGAAAAGUAUUCGCAGCAUCUUGUUGUUUUAUGAAGAGUAGAGUGUGGGGCAGCACAUCGCUUCUCCUCCAGAAUCAUCUGUCUGACUCCUUCCCCUUAGUCAAAACUUUUGUUAGUGUGUUGAUUUUACAAUCUUUGCUUCUGGAGCUCUGUAAAUAGGGUUUAUCUGAACCUGGAAACAUCUGAAUAGAUUGAGGAAUCAUUUUUGUUUUGGAUUAAGAAUUCAAACCUCCAUCCAUAGCUUCAAGGUAUGUGAAAGAGAGCAGGGCAUGUAGGAAAAUGGUUAUUCUGGAGAUGAGUCCACUUCCAAGUUAUUCGGAAUUAAACUAAAUUAACCAUUCCAUCAAGUAAUUACUAUAGCUCUCAUGGAACCUCUCCCAGUAUGCUCCUCAGGUCCAUUGUCUGCCUUCUUGUAGUUGCUUUUUAAUCAAGGCUCCUCUGCCUCUUUCUGGAAUCCACAAUUUGGUCAAGAGGAAGUACCAACCAAGCUGCAAACAACAGCACAUAACUUGAGUGCGAUACACAGAGAGCUUCUACUGAAACAAAGAUGUAAUCCGAGAAGACAUUUAUCAAGUGGACAGAGGAACACUUUUGCUAGCAUGGA
Molecule: long non-coding RNA, 1004 nt
Organism: Gopherus evgoodei (Goodes thornscrub tortoise)
Lineage: Eukaryota; Metazoa; Chordata; Testudines; Testudinidae
Exons: 4
Source: RefSeq, a predicted model, not a curated record